CAGCCGCCACGGUAAUACGUAGGUGGCAAGCGUCGUCCGGAAUUAUUGGGCGUAAAGGGCUCGCAGGCGGUUUCUUAAGUCUGAUGUGAAAGCCCCCGGCUCAACCGGGGAGGGUCAUUGGAAACUGGGAAACUUGAGUGCAGAAGAGGAGAGUGGAAUUCCACGUGUAGCGGUGAAAUGCGUAGAGAUGUGGAGGAACACCAGUGGCGAAGGCGACUCUCUGGUCUGUAACUGACGCUGAGGAGCGAAAGCGUGGGAAGCGAACAGGAUUAGAUACCCGUGUAGUCCCUGUCUCUUAUAC
Molecule: ribosomal RNA, 301 nt
Filed under: uncultured bacterium
Lineage: Bacteria
Description: partial 16S ribosomal RNA
Rfam family: Bacterial small subunit ribosomal RNA
Source: RNAcentral